RNAcentral lists this ribosomal RNA (449 nucleotides) under uncultured bacterium. RNAcentral describes it as "bacterial SSU rRNA". It matches the Rfam family "Bacterial small subunit ribosomal RNA", at positions 354 to 796 of the family's 1533-position model. The record is from RNAcentral.
GUGGGGAAUUGUUCACAAUGGGCGCAAGCCUGAUGACGCAACGCCGCGUGGAGGAUGAAGGUCUUCGGAUUGUAAACUCCUGUUGCUCGGGACGAAAAGCUCUGACCUAACACGUCAGAGUCUGACGGUACCGAGUGAGGAAGCCCCGGCUAACUCUGUGCCAGCAGCCGCGGUAAUACAGAGGGGGCAAGCGUUGUUCGGAAUUACUGGGCGUAAAGGGCGCGUAGGCGGCCUUCUAAGUCAGACGUGAAAUCCCCGGGCUCAACCCGGGAACUGCGUCUGAUACUGGAGGGCUUGAAUCCGGGAGAGGGAUGCGGAAUUCCAGGUGUAGCGGUGAAAUGCGUAGAUAUCUGGAGGAACACCGGUGGCGAAGGCGGCAUCCUGGACCGGUAUUGACGCUGAGGCGCGAAAGCCAGGGGAGCAAACGGGAUUAGAAACCCUUGUAGUCC